CCUACGGGAGGCAGCAGUGAGGAAUAUUGGUCAAUGGCCGGAAGGCUGAACCAGCCAAGUCGCGUGAGGGACGACUGCCCUAUGGGUUGUAAACCUCUUUUAUAAGGGAAGAAUAAAUGCUACGUGUAGCAUGAUGCCUGUACCUUAUGAAUAAGCAUCGGCUAACUCCGUGCCAGCAGCCGCGGUAAUACGGAGGAUGCGAGCGUUAUCCGGAUUUAUUGGGUUUAAAGGGUGCGUAGGAGGUUUUUUAAGUCAGCGGUAAAAUCGUGGGGCUCAACCCCAUCCAGCCGUUGAAACUGGGGAUCUUGAGUGUGCGAGAGGUAUGCGGAAUGCGUGGUGUAGCGGUGAAAUGCAUAGAUAUUACGCAGAACCCCGAUUGCGAAGGCAGCAUACCGGUGCAUAACUGACGCUCAGGCACGAAAGCGUGGGUAUCGAACAGGAUUAGAUACCCCAGUAGUC
This 459-nucleotide ribosomal RNA is filed under the name uncultured bacterium. RNAcentral describes it as "partial 16S ribosomal RNA". It matches the Rfam family "Bacterial small subunit ribosomal RNA", at positions 338 to 795 of the family's 1533-position model. The record is from RNAcentral.